Molecule: ribosomal RNA, 450 nt
Filed under: uncultured bacterium
Lineage: Bacteria
Description: partial 16S ribosomal RNA
Rfam family: Bacterial small subunit ribosomal RNA
Source: RNAcentral
GUGGGGAAUAUUGGACAAUGGGCGAAAGCCUGAUCCAGCCAUGCCGCGUGUGUGAAGAAGGUCUUCGGAUUGUAAAGCACUUUAAGUUGGGAGGAAGGGCAGUAAGUUAAUACCUUGCUGUUUUGACGUUACCGACAGAAUAAGCACCGGCUAACUUCGUGCCAGCAGCCGCGGUAAUACGAAGGGUGCAAGCGUUAAUCGGAAUUACUGGGCGUAAAGCGCGCGUAGGUGGUUUUGUAAGUUGGAGGUGAAAUCCCCGGGCUCAACCUGGGAACUGCCUCCAAAACUGCAUGACUAGAGUACGGUAGAGGGUAGUGGAAUUUCCUGUGUAGCGGUGAAAUGCGUAGAUAUAGGAAGGAACACCAGUGACGAAGGCGACUACCUGGACUGAUACUGACACUGAGGUGCGAAAGCGUGGGGAGCAAACAGGAUUAGAAACCCUGGUAGUCC